RNAcentral lists this ribosomal RNA (488 nucleotides) under uncultured bacterium. RNAcentral describes it as "bacterial SSU rRNA". It matches the Rfam family "Bacterial small subunit ribosomal RNA", at positions 30 to 509 of the family's 1533-position model. The record is from RNAcentral.
AUUGAACGCUGGCGGAAUGCUUUACACAUGCAAGUCGAACGGCAGCAUAGGUGCUUGCACCUGAUGGCGAGUGGCGAACGGGUGAGUAAUAUAUCGGAACGUGCCCAGUCGUGGGGGAUAACGUAGUGAAAAUUACGCUAAUACCGCAUACGAUCUAUGGAUGAAAGCGGGGGAUCGCAAGACCUCGCGCGAUUGGAGCGGCCGAUAUCAGAUUAGGUAGUUGGUGGGGUAAAGGCCUACCAAGCCAACGAUCUGUAGCUGGUCUGAGAGGACGACCAGCCACACUGGAACUGAGACACGGUCCAGACUCCUACGGGAGGCAGCAGUGGGGAAUUUUGGACAAUGGACGCAAGUCUGAUCCAGCCAUUCCGCGUGCAGGACGAAGGCCUUCGGGUUGUAAACUGCUUUUGUACGGAACGAAAAAGCCUUGGUUAAUACCCAGGGUCCAUGACGGUACCGUAAGAAUAAGCACCGGCUAACUACGUGAA